This 24-nucleotide non-coding RNA is filed under the name Rattus norvegicus (Norway rat). Lineage: Eukaryota; Metazoa; Chordata; Mammalia; Rodentia; Muridae. The record is from RNAcentral.
UUCUAGGAGGCACGAUCUCAUGGU